RNAcentral lists this ribosomal RNA (519 nucleotides) under uncultured bacterium. Its description in RNAcentral is "partial 16S ribosomal RNA". It matches the Rfam family "Bacterial small subunit ribosomal RNA", at positions 30 to 523 of the family's 1533-position model. The record is from RNAcentral.
AUUGAAUGCUGACGGCGUGGAUGAGGCAUGCGAGUCGAACGGGAAUCGGAGCAAUCCGAUUUCAGUGGCGUAAGGGUUAGGAAUAUAUGGAUGACCCACCUUCUACACUUGGAUAACGGUUGGAAACGACCGCUAAUACAGAGAUGAGGUGAAUUUAGGUGAUACUGAAUUCAUCAAAGUAGGGGACCGAGAAAUCGGCCUCGCGGUAGAUGAGGGGUCCAUACGAUAUCAGCUAGUUGGUAGGGUAAAGGCCUACCAAGGCUUAGACGUCUAGGCGGAUUGAGAGAUUGACCGCCAACACUGGGACUGAGACACUGCCCAGACUCCUACGGGAGGCUGCAGUCGAGAAUCUUUCGCAAUGGGCGCAAUGCCUGACGAAGCGACGCCGUGUGAGCGAUGAAGGCCUUCGGGUUGUAAAGCUCUUUCGCUUGGGAACAAGAGAGGCUGGCUAAUAGUCAGUUGAUUUGAGUGUACCAGGUAAAGAAGCACCGGCUAACUCCGUGCCAGCCGCCGCGGUAA